CCUACGGGCGGCAGCAGUAGGGAAUCUUCCACAAUGGGCGAAAGCCUGAUGGAGCAACGCCGCGUGGGUGAAGAAGGUCUUCGGAUCGUAAAACCCUGUUGUUAGAGAAGAAAGUGCGUGAGAGUAACUGUUCACGUUUCGACGGUAUCUAACCAGAAAGCCACGGCUAACUACGUGCCCGCAGCCGCGGUAAUACGUAGGUGGCAAGCGUUAUCCGGAUUUAUUGGGCGUAAAGGGAACGCAGGUGGUAUUUUAAGUCUGAUGUGAAAGCCUUCGGCUUAACCGGAGUAGUGCAUUGGAAACUGGGAGACGUGAGUGCAGAAGAGGAGAGUGGAACUCGAUGUGUAGCGGUGAAAUGCGUAGAUAUAUGGAAGAACACCGGUUGCGAAAGCGGCUCUCUGGUCUGUAACUGACGCUGAGGUUCGAAAGCGUGGGUAGCAAACAGGAUUAGAUACCCCAGUAGUC
Molecule: ribosomal RNA, 465 nt
Filed under: uncultured bacterium
Lineage: Bacteria
Description: partial 16S ribosomal RNA
Rfam family: Bacterial small subunit ribosomal RNA
Source: RNAcentral